GGGGCUCAGUGGUAGAGCACCAGCUCUGCGUACAGAAAGCCCCAGGUUCAAUCCCUGGGAAAACCC
Non-coding RNA from Podarcis lilfordi (Lilford's wall lizard), 66 nucleotides. Lineage: Eukaryota; Metazoa; Chordata; Lepidosauria; Squamata; Lacertidae. The record is from the annotation of a GenBank genome assembly.